RNAcentral lists this ribosomal RNA (253 nucleotides) under uncultured bacterium. RNAcentral's name for it is "partial 16S ribosomal RNA". It matches the Rfam family "Bacterial small subunit ribosomal RNA", at positions 524 to 776 of the family's 1533-position model. The record is from RNAcentral.
UACGAAAGGGGCUAGCGUUUUUCGGAAUUACUGGGCGUAAAGCGCACGUAGGCGGCCUUGUAAGUUGGGGGUGAAAUCCCCGGGCUCAACCCGGGAACUGCCUUCAAGACUGCAAAGCUCGAGGAUGCGAGAGGUUAGCGGAAUUCCGAGUGUAGAGGUGAAAUUCGUAGAUAUUCGGAAGAACACCAGUGGCGAAGGCGGCUAACUGGCGCAUUUCUGACGCUGAGGUGCGAAAGCGUGGGGAGCAAACAGG